AAGAGGGCUGCUGCGCGCUCCGACGCCGCCUGCCUGCCUGCCGCUCCCUCUGACCUGCGGGCAAGAGGCGGUGGCUGCUGCCGCUCCAGGAUGCUGGGAAUGUGCCCCGACGCUGUUCCGAGUACCGAGGGCGCCAAGGGUUUAAUCGAGCGCCGGCAUCAGCAGAAGUCCAAGUCGUGCGGUCUCUUCUUUCGCCGUGUUUGUUCCCAAAGCUAUCCCCUCGGCAGUUCCCCCCCUCCACCUUUGUUGUGCGUUUUCUCUCUCUCUCUCCCCCCCCCCCCGGCCCCACCGUUUCUCACACUGGCGGAAAUGACGAGAGUUCGAGCCGAAAAUAUCUGAAGUCAAGCAGCCCCCUGUGCGUCCUGGCGAGAGGGCUGCAUGUGUGAUUUGAAAGCAGGGAUUCAAACGCAGAGGAACAACCAGAAAUACCCUCCGCGAGCUGUCGGGGCGAGCGAGCGUGUGUGAGAGAGAGAACGAGCGUAUGCGCACCCACCUCCCUCUUCCCUGGGGAGGAGGGGGAACAAAUGCGUGAAGAUUGCCUGAUGAAAAGCUGUAAGAGGCAGCCGCGGAAGCAUGUUCACACAAUAUAAGACCAAAGAGGUAUGUUUAGAAGAGAACAUUAAAAAAUAACACCCAGCAUACAUCAAGGAGCACCAAGAUGACCUCUGCUGUCAGUACCAAAGUACCAUGUAUGACAACAAAAGUGGACUUUGCAAGCCCUUAUGGUUGCUUAUACUUCAAGCCUGCAAGGAUAAAUACCCUCCGUCUGUUACGCAAUGGACUGAAGACCUCACUGCCCUGGCUACAUUUGAACAUCAAUUUCAAGUGGAUACCAAUUUGGACACCUGGAAGGCUUAUAUUAAUUUACACGCUUCAUUCAGGAUGCAUAUAGUGAUGGGUAUAUGAUUCUUAAUGUAAAC
Long non-coding RNA from Rhineura floridana, 920 nucleotides. RefSeq lists it as uncharacterized. The record is from RefSeq and is a predicted model, not a curated record. Lineage: Eukaryota; Metazoa; Chordata; Lepidosauria; Squamata; Rhineuridae. The transcript has 3 exons.